CAAGUACUCCCUCCGUCCGGAAUUACUUGUCAUCAAAAUGGAUGUGUCUAGAACUAAAAUACAUCUAGAUACAUCCAUUUCAAUGGCAAGUAUUUUCGGACGGAGGGAGUACAAG
Triticum aestivum (bread wheat) is the source of this 115-nucleotide non-coding RNA. The record is from Rfam. NCBI's taxonomy places the organism in Eukaryota, Viridiplantae, Streptophyta, Magnoliopsida, Poales, Poaceae.